This is a long non-coding RNA of Amphiprion ocellaris (clown anemonefish), 549 nucleotides long. The record is from Ensembl. NCBI's taxonomy places the organism in Eukaryota, Metazoa, Chordata, Actinopteri, Pomacentridae.
GGGAAAAGUUUCAGUGCAUUCCGUUGAUGUAGACGGCGUGAAAACGGAAACAAGUAUGCCGGCUCACUGUGCUGCAUACAGUUACACACUACGUCGUACGAUUGAGACAAGGAAACUUGGAAUGACUUUUCAUAGGUUUCCCAGAGACUAUGGGUUGAGGAGGAAUUGGAAGUUUGUCGGCUUAGACCUGGUGUCAUUCCAUCAGUGUUAAACUUCCUGGCUCAUCUUGGAAGAGUACGUGCCAGAAAGACCACGACCAAGCAGCCUUGAGAUCUUAGGCAGCGUCUCCCUCAGACCAAAGAACUACAGACUCUUCACAACCUGCUCAAACUCUUGGUACAGGACCUCACCACACGGGUCAAGAAGGUUUCUGUCUCAUUUCUACUCUGAAGCUCACCUUCUCCUGCUCAAACUACUGACAAACUCUCCUGCAGCCUACCAGAAAACCUCUGAGAACAGAGAAUCAGGACAGGAACUCUUACCUUCUGGACAACCAACGUUGGUUCACAAACAAGAACACAGAAUGUGUCUGACCAAAAACCUCUAAAG